AAGAUGAGUUUGACUGUGGUCCAUAAUCUUUGUCGAUCAUCUUGUACUUCCCCUCGUGAAAGAUUAAACAGGGGUGUGGAGACUUCUUCCACCUACGACAUAAUCCACAUCGUGCCUGCCGCGAUUGUCGAGACCUCUAGCUUGAUGACAUACGCAGGCGCCCACGCGCCGCCGGUGAUGGAAACGGGAAGUGACACGCUAAUGAUUGCAAAACGAAAUCGAGUUGGAGCCCGCCUCAGGAUAGCGCCGCGAUGAUGGACGUGCGUGCAGCCCGCUUGGAGAUGACGCGCGUCACCUGCUCCACGCGCGCGGAAAUGAACGGACGGCUAACGAGGCCUGUUUCGAAUCAACAAGACGGGGGAGAUGGACGGGGGACGCGAGCGCCACCUCGUUGCCGGCCCACCGGCAGCCUUGCAAGAAGGCGACGUAAGACCCGGUUGGAGGCUUUGCUGCAUGUUUAUCUGAUCACUUUUCCCCCUGCCGGGACCACGAGGGACUGGAAUCGCUUGCUGUGUUCACUUGAUUAUUAUUUUUUUUCCAUUGGCCCUCAGUGGUGGAAGUGCUGCGGCUCGGGAAGUCGGGGUGUCAUGGAGCUAACGCCUGGCCGGUGAACCACGAGGAAGGAUCCUCGUGUGGAUUUGGAAGACAUUUAUGAUGGGAAGCCUGUAAUUAUGCGGGCAUCCGCCAGAUAGCUUAGCAGCACCGACGUUAAUAUCAACCGCGAGGGCUGUAACGCUCGGGUUCCCUCGACUCCCCACAAAGCACAUGCAAGACGUUGUUGCGAAGGAAUCAUUCCCGGCCAGCCUCCCCGAUGGGGCUUAUCGACGACGACGGUGUCAGGUCAGUGACUCCCGUCCCGUCACCGCCUGGCAUCUGUCACAUAAUCACGAUAAACACCAGCUUGACCUUCGCGCCCCCCGAUUCAAAUCUCAUUGGGUAAUUUGCCUUCAUUAAUUGAGUCACCGGACUCCUGUGGGGGACAAAAUAUGAGCAACGGUGCUCAGUGUGACGUGCGGCGUGAGCACACCAAAAAACGAUCAAUAUCAACAAACAACAGUGAUGAGCGCAUGUGAUAAUUUCAGACUUAGAUCCCAGACGCCGAUAGGCCUGCUGGGACUGGAUGCUUUGGGCUGCUUACCGGAAUCCUCCAAACAACGCCGGCAACAUUUCUGCUUGUGGAAAGUUUGGUUGCUGGUUUUAAGCUUUUAUCAGCAUCACCCUCAUGGCGGCGGAAUCUGUUUCUUUGCUUUUGCUGCGCUUGUUCCAGACGAGUCACAGCGGCUGUGGGAGGGAUGCAAGCCUCGAGAGGAGGCUCAAGUUCGAGUAAUUGAAGUUUCAGAUUGUUGGACUGCUUCACGGCAUGAAUUUCGUGGCCGCGUGUUUGAAUCAAACCGAACUUGUCGGACCAGUUUUAUUUUUCAAUAUUCCUCGUCCACUUUUACAUUUCAGGGCCCUAAUUUUGGGACUCGUGCAAGUCUAGCGCAAAAGCACAGAGCAACUGUGUGCAUAUGGGUGGUGUUUUCUUUCUUUUGGUAUUUUAGGCAGACGGGCCAUUUGCGCCGUUGUGGGAGGGAACACAGCGGACUUGUGUCGUGGAAAUGUGACAUUGAACAAUGUUAUCUUAUAAUUAACUGUUUACUUGUGUCGCACAUCCUGGUGUC
Molecule: long non-coding RNA, 1661 nt
Organism: Hippocampus comes (tiger tail seahorse)
Lineage: Eukaryota; Metazoa; Chordata; Actinopteri; Syngnathiformes; Syngnathidae
Exons: 3
Source: RefSeq, a predicted model, not a curated record